This 486-nucleotide ribosomal RNA is filed under the name uncultured bacterium. RNAcentral describes it as "partial 16S ribosomal RNA". It matches the Rfam family "Bacterial small subunit ribosomal RNA", at positions 30 to 507 of the family's 1533-position model. The record is from RNAcentral.
AUUGAACGCUGGCGGCAUGCCUUACACAUGCAAGUCGAACGGCAGCACGGGUGCUUGCACCUGGUGGCGAGUGGCGAACGGGUGAGUAAUACAUCGGAACAUGUCCUGUAGUGGGGGAUAGCCCGGCGAAAGCCGGAUUAAUACCGCAUACGAUCCACGGAUGAAAGCGGGGGACCUUCGGGCCUCGCGCUAUAGGGUUGGCCGAUGGCUGAUUAGCUAGUUGGUGGGGUAAAGGCCUACCAAGGCGACGAUCAGUAGCUGGUCUGAGAGGACGACCAGCCACACUGGGACUGAGACACGGCCCAGACUACUACGGGAGGCAGCAGUGGGGAAUUUUGGACAAUGGGCGAAAGCCUGAUCCAGCAAUGCCGCGUGUGUGAAGAAGGCCUUCGGGUUGUAAAGCACUUUUGUCCGGAAAGAAAUCCUUGGCUCUAAUACAGUCGGGGGAUGACGGUACCGGAAGAAUAAGCACCGGCUAACUACGUG